Molecule: non-coding RNA, 45 nt
Filed under: Trichobilharzia regenti
Lineage: Eukaryota; Metazoa; Platyhelminthes; Trematoda; Strigeidida; Schistosomatidae
Source: RNAcentral
GUCCAGCUGACAAGUCCCGAACAGGAUGAAACGCGCAUCCUGGAU